Molecule: long non-coding RNA, 794 nt
Filed under: Equus caballus (horse)
Lineage: Eukaryota; Metazoa; Chordata; Mammalia; Perissodactyla; Equidae
Description: lncRNA (ENSECAG00000029370.3)
Source: RNAcentral
GGGGCUUAUUGAUAAGAAGAUGUGGAGAAGCAGCUAUAGCUCUGGCACAUUUAGCCUUUAAAUACCAGAACUUUGUGAGGACUUACCCAAGAGUGUUGAUCUGGGAAGGCAACUCUUUGCUAAUAGCUCUCUGAAGACCUGGGGGCAUUAGCUCCUGCCAGGGUAAGGUGACUCUUUACCAGCAGUGGUGAAAACCAUGCAGUGGCCUAUGAAGGAGAUUAUCUUGCCCACCAACACCAGUGCCUUCCUUCCCUGGCAAGGUGCUCUAGCAACAGGAGACUUUCACUUUGUUCCAGCAUCUGCAAGUCAGCUCUUGGUUGGCUAAGACAACUCUCCCAAGAACCAAUUCAUGGAAAGAGUCAUGAGUUGAAUGAUCCAGAUUGGAAUGGUGGCUCUGCAUAGUUGAGGCUGGGUCACAGUUGUGUCUACUUUACAGAACAAAGUGGAAGAAGAGGAACUCCAGGGUGUGUCUUCACUGCGGAGCUGCGCCAACACCUUUCUGCUUUACAACAUCCUUUGCUUACACAAGCCAUCAGGGCGUUCCUGCCAUUCCACCUACCUACCUGGAAACCCAGGUUCCUGUUUCUAAGGAUGAGAUCAGGAAGACAACAGAUUUCUGACUUCUUUUGGAGAAUUAAAAAAUCUGGGACUAGAAGGCUAUUUCCACUUAGCAACUUUCAGAUGGAUCUGACACAGGUGAGCUACCCCUUUUGAUGGGCAUGCAUUCCCCUGGGUCAACUCAGGUGAUUCCUCAUUUCUGUUCCUUGGCUGGACUCUGAAGGCACUGGUUUUGU